RNAcentral lists this microRNA precursor (100 nucleotides) under Sigmodon hispidus (hispid cotton rat). RNAcentral describes it as "mir-199". The stretch from base 11 to 90 matches the Rfam family "mir-199 microRNA precursor family". From Rfam's summary of the family: This family consists of the microRNA (miRNA) precursor mir-199 which appears to be specific to humans. Animal miRNAs are transcribed as ~70nt precursors and subsequently processed by the Dicer enzyme to give a ~22nt product. In this case the mature sequence comes from the 3' arm of the precursor. Lineage: Eukaryota; Metazoa; Chordata; Mammalia; Rodentia; Cricetidae. The record is from RNAcentral.
UGGAGAUCCUGCUCCGUCGCCCCAGUGUUCAGACUACCUGUUCAGGACAAUGCCGUUGUACAGUAGUCUGCACAUUGGUUAGACUGGGCAAGGGCCAGCA